CGCUGGCGGCGUGCCUAAUACAUGCAAGUCGAACGGUCUUUCUAUGGAAGCUUGCUUCCACUGAGAAGAUAGUGGCGAACGGGUGAGUAACACGUGGGUAACCUGCCCAUAAGAGGGGGAUAACAUCCGGAAACGGGUGCUAAUACCGCAUAGUUUCUUGAUCGCAUGAUUGAGAAAGGAAAGACGGCCUUUGUGCUGUCGCUUAUGGAUGGACCCGCGGCGUAUUAGUUAGUUGGUGAGGUAACGGCUCACCAAGACGAUGAUACGUAGCCGACCUGAGAGGGUGAUCGGCCACAUUGGGACUGAGACACGGCCCAAACUCCUACGGGAGGCAGCAGUAGGGAAUCUUCCGCAAUGGACGAAAGUCUGACGGAGCAACGCCGCGUGAGUGAAAGAAGGUUUUCGGAUCGUAAAACUCUGUUGUCAGAGAAGAACAAGUUGGAGAGUAACUGCUCCAGCCUUGACGGUAUCUGACCAGAAAGCCACGGCUAACUACGUGCCAGCCGCCGC
Molecule: ribosomal RNA, 510 nt
Filed under: uncultured bacterium
Lineage: Bacteria
Description: bacterial SSU rRNA
Rfam family: Bacterial small subunit ribosomal RNA
Source: RNAcentral